This is a non-coding RNA of Maylandia zebra (zebra mbuna), 286 nucleotides long. Lineage: Eukaryota; Metazoa; Chordata; Actinopteri; Cichliformes; Cichlidae. The record is from RefSeq and is a predicted model, not a curated record.
CAAAGCAAUUUUACAACAGACUUGUUGAAUUCAUUAUCUGAAGCUUUUAAAACGCGAGCUGCAUCCAUAAAGGCACAGAUUGAACCUCCUUACAGAUUGGCGUUCCCUUCUUCUUUUGUCUUCUUGAAUGUUGUGAGCUUCAGGCAAGGAUCAGUCAUCAACACGAUGGAACUUCGGUUUGUAAACACAUCUGUUCCAAACAAAGCUGAGAUUAGAAAUGUUUUGAACAGUACAGCCUCAAACGUUACAGGCUUUGACAUUGAAAGGGAUUCCAUCCUUGUCAAUG